GGUUAAGUGACUAAGCGUACACGGUGGAUGCCUUGGCAGUCAGAGGCGAUGAAAGACGUAGUAACUUGCGAUAAGCCCAGAUUAGGUAGUAACAACCAUUUGAGUCUGGGAUUUCUGAAUGGGGAAACCCACGUGCAUAAGCACGUAUCCUUACCUGAAUACAUAGGGUAAGGAGGCGAACCGGGGGAACUGAAACAUCUAAGUACCCCGAGGAAAAGAAAUCAACCGAGAUUCCGAAAGUAGCGGCGAGCGAAAUUGGACUAGCCCUUAAGCUUUACACGCGUUAGACGAACGGUCUGGAAAGUCCGACGAUACAGGGUGAUAGUCCCGUAGUUGACGACGUGUGUUCAGUGAAAUCGAGUAGGGCGGGACACGUGAUAUCCUGUCUGAAUAUGGGGGGACCAUCCUCCAAGGCUAAAUACUACUGACUGACCGAUAGUGAACCAGUACCGUGAGGGAAAGGCGAAAAGAACCCCUGUGAGGGGAGUGAAAUAGAACCUGAAACCGUGUACGUACAAGCAGUAGGAGCAGGCUUUGUCCUGUGACUGCGUACCUUUUGUAUAAUGGGUCAGCGACUUAUAUUCAGUGGCAAGGUUAACCAUCUAGGGGAGCCGUAGGGAAACCGAGUCUUAACUGGGCGUUCAGUCUCUGGAUAUAGACCCGAAACCAGGUGAUCUAGCCAUGGGCAGGUUGAAGGUUGAGUAACAUCAACUGGAGGACCGAACCGACUAAUGUUGAAAAAUUAGCGGAUGACUUGUGGCUAGGGGUGAAAGGCCAAUCAAACCUGGAGAUAGCUGGUUCUCCCCGAAAGCUAUUUAGGUAGCGCCUCGGACGAAUACUACUGGGGGUAGAGCACUGUUAAGGCUAGGGGGUCAUCCCGACUUACCAACCCUUUGCAAACUCCGAAUACCAGUAAGUACUAUCCGGGAGACACACGGCGGGUGCUAACGUCCGUCGUGGAGAGGGAAACAACCCAGACCGCCAGCUAAGGUCCCAAAUUACUACUAAGUGGGAAACGAUGUGGGAAGGCUCAGACAGCCAGGAUGUUGGCUUAGAAGCAGCCAUCAUUUAAAGAAAGCGUAAUAGCUCACUGGUCGAGUCGGCCUGCGCGGAAGAUGUAACGGGGCUAAGUAGUAAACCGAAGCUGCGGCAAUAUACUUUUGUAUAUUGGGUAGGGGAGCGUUCUGUAAGCGGUUGAAGGUGUGUGGUAACGCAUGCUGGACGUAUCAGAAGUGCGAAUGCUGACAUGAGUAACGAUAAAGGGGGUGAAAAACCUCCUCGCCGGAAGACCAAGGGUUCCUGUCCAACGUUAAUCGGGGCAGGGUAAGUCGACCCCUAAGGCGAGGCCGAAAGGCGUAGUCGAUGGGAAACGGGUUAAUAUUCCCGUACUUCUUACAAUUGCGAUGGGGGGACGGAGAAGGCUAGGUGGGCCUGGCGACGGUUGUCCAGGUUCAAGUGCGUAGGCUUAAGAGUUAGGUAAAUCCGGCUCUUUUUAAGGCUGAGACACGACGUCGAGCACCUACGGGUGUGAAGUCAUUGAUGCCAUGCUUCCAGGAAAAGCCUCUAAGCUUCAGAUUGUAAGGAAUCGUACCCCAAACCGACACAGGUGGUCGGGUAGAGAAUACCAAGGCGCUUGAGAGAACUCGGGUGAAGGAACUAGGCAAAAUGGUACCGUAACUUCGGGAGAAGGUACGCUCUCGACGGUGAAGUCCCUUGCGGAUGGAGCUAUUGAGAGUCGCAGAUACCAGGUGGCUGCAACUGUUUAUUAAAAACACAGCACUGUGCAAAAUCGUAAGAUGACGUAUACGGUGUGACGCCUGCCCGGUGCCGGAAGGUUAAUUGAUGGGGUUAGACUUCGGUCGAAGCUCUUGAUCGAAGCCCCGGUAAACGGCGGCCGUAACUAUAACGGUCCUAAGGUAGCGAAAUUCCUUGUCGGGUAAGUUCCGACCUGCACGAAUGGCGUAAUGAUGGCCACGCUGUCUCCACCCGAGACUCAGUGAAAUUGAAAUCGCUGUGAAGAUGCAGUGUACCCGCGGCUAGACGGAAAGACCCCGUGAACCUUUACUACAGCUUGGCACUGAACAUUGACCCUACAUGUGUAGGAUAGGUGGGAGGCUUUGAAGCACGUAUGCCAGUAUGUGUGGAGCCGUCCUUGAAAUACCACCCUUGUAGUGUUGAUGUUCUAACGUCGACCCCUAAUCGGGGUUGCGGACAGUGCCUGGUGGGUAGUUUGACUGGGGCGGUCUCCUCCCAAAGAGUAACGGAGGAGCACGAAGGUGGGCUAAUCACGGUUGGACAUCGUGAGGUUAGUGCAAUGGCAUAAGCCCGCUUGACUGCGAGAAUGACAAUUCGAGCAGGUGCGAAAGCAGGUCAUAGUGAUCCGGUGGUUCUGAAUGGAAGGGCCAUCGCUCAACGGAUAAAAGGUACUCCGGGGAUAACAGGCUGAUACCGCCCAAGAGUUCAUAUCGACGGCGGUGUUUGGCACCUCGAUGUCGGCUCAUCACAUCCUGGGGCUGAAGUCGGUCCCAAGGGUAUGGCUGUUCGCCAUUUAAAGUGGUACGCGAGCUGGGUUUAGAACGUCGUGAGACAGUUCGGUCCCUAUCUGCCGUGGGCGUUGGAAGAUUGAAGGGGGCUGCUCCUAGUACGAGAGGACCGGAGUGGACGAACCUCUGGUGUUCGGGUUGUGUCGCCAGACGCAUUGCCCGGUAGCUAAGUUCGGAAUCGAUAACCGCUGAAAGCAUCUAAGCGGGAAGCGAGCCCUGAGAUGAGUCUUCCCUGAUACUUUAAGUAUCCUAAAGGGUUGUCGGAGACUACGACGUUGAUAGGUCAGGUGUGUAAGUGCUGUGAGGCAUUGAGCUAACUGAUACUAAUUGCCCGUGAGGCUUAACCAU
RNAcentral lists this ribosomal RNA (2891 nucleotides) under Vibrio parahaemolyticus. RNAcentral's name for it is "LSU rRNA". It matches the Rfam family "Bacterial large subunit ribosomal RNA". Lineage: Bacteria; Pseudomonadati; Pseudomonadota; Gammaproteobacteria; Vibrionales; Vibrionaceae. The record is from RNAcentral.